GUCAACUAAGGCAGUUGUUUGAUUAAUUCAAUAGACAUUUGUCUAUUUAACAUGAACAUAUUGAGUUUAGGUUUUUAAAUCAUUAUCAGUUGUUGGUUUAACAUAAAAUAACAAAAAGUUUAAUGAACUAGAUUUGCAUUCUUCAGUUCAAUUAAAUGUAAUUAUUUUAAAUCAACAACUCUAAAACCGAUGCCUAGUGCGCAUGCUCAAACUUCCCAAAAGUGAAGAGGCGGGAACGCGGAGAAGUUAUAUGUGUUCAGUGGACUGCCAUUUCCCUCUGCGGAAUCUUCCACAAUACAGUAACACCACAAAGAAAGCUGACCCCUUUUUCUGAUUGUUUGUGCCUCCUCUUUAAUACAUGUGACUUGUAUGUGGCAGUGCAAGCGUUGUUCCAUCAGGGAGAGUAGUAGAUUGACAAGGAGUUUCUGCGAAUCACCACAAAGCCUCUGCUAUCUACUUUCUUUGCCGAGCUUGACCAAUACACGCCACGCUUAAUGGAAAUCUUUCUGACCAAAGGAGGGACACGUGGAAAGAAAAUAAGAGGUCUCAUGCUUGCCAUCUCCAAGCAUGACAACAUCCAUACCAGACGAGCAUGCAUCUUGAAGUCUUUGUGCAUCCACCUAAACGAAGACUAUGAGAAGUUAAUAAAGGAGUACUUGGAUACGGACAGCGAGGCAAAAAGCUGCAUGGAGCAAACUGUGAUGGGGGUGUACGUCAUCCAGAAGGAGGGUGCUGAACCUGAAGAUGACCCAGAGGACGUUGGUGUCGUGAUUGAGGGUGUGGAGGCUAACACUGAUUUGGGUAACAUUGCACAAGCAUGUGCUCUGUUGUUUGGACUCUUAUACCGUUUGAACCUGAGCUACCCACCAGAACUUAAAUGCACCUUUGAAGUCCUCCAGAAGAUACUUUUAAAUCUUGAUGGACAAAAGCUGUCUUCAAAGGUACAGUUUCUGAAAAACAAGCUUAUGGGGUGAGAGCACUUGAAAAUGACUGAUAGGUCUUGAAUGGUUCAUUGGUGCAAUGGUGAUUUCCAAUAUAUAAUGUUAAUAUUUGAGUUGUUUAUAUUUUUUUUCUUUCAUUUAAAACAUUUUUUUUUAAGUUUUUGGAUUCUCUCUGUUGGGCAAUUCACCUUUUAUACAGCACUGCAGAUGAUUUUUGUUUGUCCUUAUAUAGAUGGCUCAAAAUGGAUCAGAAGUACUGACAGAAGUACUAUGUUGUGUUUAUGUGUCAAGGUCCUGUAAAGUUUAAGACCACUGCCACCUGUUAAGUUCACUGUAUUAUUGUGUCCAUUUUGCUUGCUAGCAUGUUUUAAAACACAGCAAAACUAUAUUGCUAGCUGUGGAGGACUGCAACCAAAAUUAAAAAAAUAAAUACAGAAAUAUAAAAAUUGGUCAAACUAAUAAUUAUUUCAAUGAGAUACACCAAACAAAUAUAGAUUUUCAUCACCUAUGGAAUUUUUUGUUGUUGUUGUAUUGCCCCCAAAAUAUUUCUAAUUAUUUUAUUUUAUUUUUCCAAAUUCACACAAUUCGAUUUUGUCACAUGUUUUAACUUGCCAAGUGGGAGAUGUAUUUUUAUCUUUUAGUUUAAUUUUUUAAAAUGCAGUCGAUAUAUUGAGCAAAUUUUGCAUCUGUUUUUAGUUGUGGAAGCUUUGGUUCCAACAUAUUACCUAUGUAAAUAAGUAUUCUAACAUUUUACCUUUUGAAGUAUAUGCUUGCAGGUGUACAAAAAUGCAAUUUAGUGGACAAUUAUAUUGUCCACUAAAUCCAGUUAAUAAAGAUAAUGUUAUCAUAAUCUGAUUGUGACUUUUUUUGUAAAGUAGUGGGUUUCUAAAUGUGUAACAAAUGUAAACAAAUCUAAUUGAAAUAAUUUGGUUGAAAUGAGUGAAAUCAUUGCCUUGAUUAACAAAGUAGUUGUUGAAACAACAAGAUUUAAUUCUGUUUUCCUAAACUUUUUAAAUUGUGUAGAAUGAAUUAAAACAAAUUUCACUCUACAUACUUAAAUAAAUCACUUCAAAUCAAUGUAAGUAUAGUAUGUUGAUCCAACGUAAUCUGAUUACAUUAAACCACCAAAUGCUAAAUGUGUUGGUUUGACAUGAUCGAAAAGGGUUUAUUGUACUUGGUUAAAUUGUGUGCAAAAAGGGUGCCAUGAUUAA
Molecule: non-coding RNA, 2152 nt
Organism: Maylandia zebra (zebra mbuna)
Lineage: Eukaryota; Metazoa; Chordata; Actinopteri; Cichliformes; Cichlidae
Source: RefSeq, a predicted model, not a curated record